UACGAAGGGGGCUAGCGUUGUUCGGAAUUAUUGGGCGUAAAGAGCACGUAGGCGGCUGUGUAAGUCGGUUGUGAAAGCCUUCCGCUUAACGGAAGAACGGCAUCCGAUACUGCAUAGCUUGAGUGCGGGAGGGGAGAGUGGAACUUCUGGUGGAGCGGUGAAAUGCGUAGAUAUCAGAAGGAACACCGGCGGCGAAGGCGACUCUCUGGUCCGUAACUGACGCUGAGUGUGCGAAAGCUAGGGGAGCAAACGGG
Molecule: ribosomal RNA, 254 nt
Filed under: uncultured bacterium
Lineage: Bacteria
Description: partial 16S ribosomal RNA
Rfam family: Bacterial small subunit ribosomal RNA
Source: RNAcentral